AGAUUGAACGCUGGCGGCAUGCCUAACACAUGCAAGUCGAACGGGAGUAGCAAUACUCUAGUGGCAGACGGGUGAGGAAUACGUAGGAAUUUGCCCUUAAGUGGGGGAUAACCCGGGGAAACCCGGAUUAAUACCGCAUGACCUCGAAAGAGCAAAGUGGGGGAUCGCAAGACCUCACGCUUUUGGAGAAGCCUACGUCGGAUUAGCUAGUUGGUGAGGUAAUGGCUCACCAAGGCGACGAUCCGUAACUGGUCUGAGAGGAUGAUCAGUCACACCGGAACUGAGACACGGUCCGGACUCCGUACGGGAGGCGAGUCAGGUGGGGAAUUAGUUGGACAAGUGGGACGCAAGCCGUGACUCCAGCAAGU
RNAcentral lists this ribosomal RNA (368 nucleotides) under uncultured soil bacterium. RNAcentral describes it as "bacterial SSU rRNA". It matches the Rfam family "Bacterial small subunit ribosomal RNA", at positions 26 to 396 of the family's 1533-position model. The record is from RNAcentral.